This 454-nucleotide ribosomal RNA is filed under the name uncultured Desulfovibrio sp. RNAcentral's name for it is "bacterial SSU rRNA". It matches the Rfam family "Bacterial small subunit ribosomal RNA", at positions 933 to 1382 of the family's 1533-position model. Lineage: Bacteria; Pseudomonadati; Thermodesulfobacteriota; Desulfovibrionia; Desulfovibrionales; Desulfovibrionaceae. The record is from RNAcentral.
UGGAGUAUGUGGUUUAAUUCGACGCAACGCGCAGAACCUUACCUAGGCUUGACAUCCCGGGAAUUUGCUGGAAACAGUGAAGUGCUUUCAUUAGAAAGAGCCCGGUGACAGGUGCUGCAUGGCUGUCGUCAGCUCGUGUCGUGAGAUGUUGGGUUAAGUCCCGCAACGAGCGCAACCCUCGCCUUUAGUUGCCAGCAUUCAGUUGGGCACUCUAAAGGGACUGCCGGUGUCAAACCGGAGGAAGGUGGGGAUGACGUCAAGUCCUCAUGGCCUUUAUGUCUAGGGCUACACACGUACUACAAUGGCAGGUACAAAGGGCAGCGACACAGCGAUGUGAUGCGAAUCCCGAAAAGCCUGUCUCAGUCCAGAUCGGAGUCUGCAACUCGACUCCGUGAAGUUGGAAUCGCUAGUAAUCGUGGAUCAGCAUGCCACGGUGAAUACGUUCCCGGGCCUU